RNAcentral lists this ribosomal RNA (496 nucleotides) under uncultured bacterium. RNAcentral's name for it is "partial 16S ribosomal RNA". It matches the Rfam family "Bacterial small subunit ribosomal RNA", at positions 29 to 507 of the family's 1533-position model. The record is from RNAcentral.
AUGAACGCUGGCGGCGUGCCUAAUACCUGCAAGUCGAGCGAACAGACGAGGAGCUUGCUCCUCUGACGUUAGCGGCGGACGGGUGAGUAACACGUGGAUAACCUACCUAUAAGACUGGGAUAACUUCGGGAAACCGGAGCUAAUACCGGAUAAUAUAUUGAACCGCAUGGUUCAAUAGUGAAAGACGGUUUUGCUGUCACUUAUAGCUGGAUCCGCGCCGCAUUAGCUAGUUGGUAAGGUAACGGCUUACCAAGGCAACGAUGCGUAGCCGACCUGAGAGGGUGAUCGGCCACACUGGAACUGAGACACGGUCCAGACUCCUACGGGAGGCAGCAGUAGGGAAUCUUCCGCAAUGGGCGAAAGCCUGACGGAGCAACGCCGCGUGAGUGAUGAAGGUCUUCGGAUCGUAAAACUCUGUUAUUAGGGAAGAACAAAUGUGUAAGUAACUAUGCACGUCUUGACGGUACCUAAUCAGAAAGCCACGGCUAACUACGUG